UAGGGAAUCUUCGGCAAUGGGGGGAACCCUGACCGAGCAACGCCGCGUGAGUGAAGAAGGUUUUCGGAUCGUAAAGCUCUGUUGUUAAGGAAGAACGAGUGUGAGAAUGGAAAGUUCAUACUGUGACGGUACUUAACCAGAAAGGGACGGCUAACUACGUGCCAGCAGCCGCGGUAAUACGUAGGUCCCGAGCGUUGUCCGGAUUUAUUGGGCGUAAAGCGAGCGCAGGCGGUUAGAAAAGUCUGAAGUGAAAGGCAGUGGCUCAACCAUUGUAGGCUUUGGAAACUGUUUAACUUGAGUGGAGAAGGGGAGAGUGGAAUUCCAUGUGUAGCGGUGAAAUGCGUAGAUAUAUGGAGGAACACCAGUGGCGAAGGCGACUCUCUGGUCUGUAACUGACGCUGAGGCUCAAAAGCGUGGGUAGCAAACAGG
This 429-nucleotide ribosomal RNA is filed under the name Bacteroidota bacterium. Its description in RNAcentral is "Bacteroidetes bacterium partial 16S ribosomal RNA". It matches the Rfam family "Bacterial small subunit ribosomal RNA", at positions 355 to 776 of the family's 1533-position model. Lineage: Bacteria; Pseudomonadati; Bacteroidota. The record is from RNAcentral.